CCUACGGGAGGCAGCAGUGGGGAAUCUUGGACAAUGGGGGAAACCCUGAUCCAGCCACGCCGCGUGAGUGAUGAAGGCCCUAGGGUCGUAAAACUCUUUCGCUGGGGAAGAUAAUGACGGUACCCAGUAAAGAAACCCCGGCUAACUCCGUGCCAGCAGCCGCGGUAAUACGGAGGGGGUUAGCGUUGUUCGGAAUUACUGGGCGUAAAGCGCACGUAGGCGGAUUAGUCAGUCAGAGGUGAAAUCCCAGGGCUCAACCCUGGAACUGCCUUUGAUACUGCUAGUCUUGAGUUCGAGAGAGGUGAGUGGAAUUCCGAGUGUAGAGGUGAAAUUCGUAGAUAUUCGGAGGAACACCAGUGGCGAAGGCGGCUCACUGGCUCGAU
RNAcentral lists this ribosomal RNA (383 nucleotides) under uncultured Paracoccaceae bacterium. Its description in RNAcentral is "bacterial SSU rRNA". It matches the Rfam family "Bacterial small subunit ribosomal RNA", at positions 338 to 738 of the family's 1533-position model. The record is from RNAcentral. Lineage: Bacteria; Pseudomonadati; Pseudomonadota; Alphaproteobacteria; Rhodobacterales; Paracoccaceae.